AUUCUAUAUAAAAUAUUAAUUAUAUAGAUAUAUCAAUAUAUAACACACACAAACCAUGGCCACAAUAUAUGUGAUCAUGGAAGGGUUUGAGCUUGAGGAGGUGAAGUUGGUGAGGUAAUAGCUUACCAAGGCGAUCAGUAGCUGGUUCGAGAGGAUGAUCAGUCACACUGGGACUGAGAUAAGGCCCAGACUCCUAUGGGAGGCAGCAGUGGGGAAUUUCCCGCAAUGGGCGAAAGCCUGAUGGAGCAAUACCGCAUGGAAGUAAAAGGCCUACGGGUCAUGAACUUCUUUUUUGGAGAAGAAACAAUGACGCUAUCCAGGGAAUAAGCAUCGGCUAUAUUUGUGCCAGCAGCCACAGUAAGCAGAGGAUGCCAACGUUAUCCAGAAUGAUUGGGCAUAAAGCGUCUAUAGGUGGCUUUUUAAGUUCGCCGUCAAAUCCCAGGGCUCAACCGUGGACAGGUGGCGGAAACUACUAAGCUGGAGUACGGUAGGGACAAAGGGGAUUUUCGGUGGACGAUGAAAUGCGUAGACAUCGAAAGGAACACUCACGGUGAAAGCACUCUGCUGGGUCGACACUGACACUGAGAGACGAAAGCUAGGGGAGCAAAUUGGAUUAGAGACCCCAGUAGUCCUAGCCGUAAACAAUGGAUACUAAGUGGUUGUGCGUAUCCACCCGUAUAAUGUUGUAGCUAACGCGUUAAGUAUCCAUCCUGGGGAGUACGUUCGCAAGAAUGAAACUCNAAGGAAUUGACGGGGGCCCGCACAAACGGUGGAGUAUGUGGUUUAAUUCGAUGCAAGCGAAGAACCUUAUUACCAGGGCUUGACAUGCCGCGAAUCCUCUUGAAAUGGAGGAGUGUCUUCCGGAACACGGACACAGGUGGUGCAUUGCUGUCGUCAGCUCGUGCCGUGAGGUGUUGGGUUAUGUCCCGCAACGAGUGCAAAAUUAACUCAUAUGUAGUUCGCUGCUUUGAUUUUGUGGGUGUGAAGAUGUGCAAAACCAAACGACUCAAAAAGCAUUAGCUCUCCCUGAAAAGGAGGUAAUCCAGCCACACCUUCCAAUACGGCUACCUUGUUACGACUUCACUCCAGUCACUAGCCCUGCCUUCGGCAUCUCCCUCCUUGCGGUUAAGGUAACGACUUCGGGCAUGGCCAGCUCCCAUAGUGUGACGGGCGGUGUGUACAAGGCUCGAGCGGAUUCACGCCCU
This 1205-nucleotide ribosomal RNA is filed under the name Trifolium pratense (red clover). RNAcentral describes it as "bacterial SSU rRNA". It matches the Rfam family "Bacterial small subunit ribosomal RNA", at positions 166 to 1169 of the family's 1533-position model. The record is from RNAcentral. Lineage: Eukaryota; Viridiplantae; Streptophyta; Magnoliopsida; Fabales; Fabaceae.